GCCCGGCCGCGCGCCUGCGCUGGGGUCCUCGGGCGCGUGGGGUUACUAGAGGUGGAGCGCUGGGAGGGCGCGCGGCAGGAGGCGGACGCCGUUACGGCGGGAGCGUGGUCACGUGGCCGCUGGUCACCGCCGCCACCUCCCGCCCCAUUCUCUUGCUGGUCGGGCCAGGCCCCGCGUGUUCCACGAGAGCCCGGCAGACUGACGGGGAGAGAGAGAGCGAGCGAAAGAGAGAGAGAGAGAGAGAAAGGAGAGACAGAAAGAGAGAGAGAAAGGAGGGGAGGAGGAUGAUUCAGGGAGUAGGAGCUGGGGAGCCCUGCUGCGCUACAGAAAACUUCUGAUGGCUUGGUGAAGAGAAGAAAAACGUCAGAUAGGCCGAAGUACUGUCAUACUUGCUCAUGGAUGCCAACCUCUGAAGCUACAAGUCUGCAGUUCAAUGGUCAUGGCAUCCUAUCACAGCAACAGAAAGAUAAC
Long non-coding RNA from Rattus rattus (black rat), 471 nucleotides. RefSeq lists it as uncharacterized. NCBI's taxonomy places the organism in Eukaryota, Metazoa, Chordata, Mammalia, Rodentia, Muridae. The transcript has 3 exons. The record is from RefSeq and is a predicted model, not a curated record.